UAACAGGCCUGGCUGGCACUCCCCUUCCCAACCUCAGGUCUGUAAUCAGCCCCACACAGAAGGGAAUGCUGCCAAAAAUAGUUGGGCCUUUCCACUUCUCUUCUCUGCUUCUACUCUGCUUUUUCCCUGAUGGAUCUUGAGGAGGAAGGCUGGUUGUCAAAGGAUGGUGUCGAUAUCCAGAUCAGGUGUGAGAGCUGGAGGCAUGAGCCCACAAAGGAAGAUACUGAACUAACAAAAGGCUGGUGUCAGCUGAAGGUGUUAUAUAACCAGCAAAAGGUCCAUCCUUUCUGCAGGAGGGUUGCGCAAGCUCUUUACGUUUUCAAAAAGAUCCUGCCAAGUUGAAGCAUUUUACUGCUGAACAGAGUGUGAUCUUGAAAGCACCCUGAACAAGAUCCACAGAGAAGUCCCUUGAGAAAAACAUCAUACUGGAAAGUAAAAUCCGUGCAGCCUCAGGAUCAGGAGGAGGCUUGAUUCUUGCUCAUGUGAACUGCAUAGACAUUCUCCUGAGGAUGUUACAACAGAAUCAAACUAUGUUACCCUUUAAACAAAAUCUCUAGAGAAGCUGUUAGUGGUUCUGAUAUGGAAUGGAACCUGUAUCUUUUCAUCCAUGGAACAGGUGGAGAUAGUGGAGUGGGGGGGGGGGGCAGAGUCUGGAGAAACACAAUUGGAGAAAAGGAUUAAACCCUUUCUCCCCCAGUGCCAUAGCCACAGUCCAAAUCAGGGGCUCAAUUUACCAUGUGGCAGUUUCUUGCACAGAGCAGGGGGUUGGAUUAGAAGACCAUCAGCAGUUCCUUCCAGCUCUAACAUCCUAUGAUUUUUGCUUUUAAAAAAUUGCAGGAGAUCCAGUCAUGGAUCUCUUGCCAUCUCAUCUAAUCCGACCUUUAUUUAAUUCAACAUUAGUAUAUAGAAGAUUUAGUGAAACUCAUUUGGAAAUAAUGGUUGGGCUGACAUCCUGACUAUAUUUAUCAGAGGAAGUCCUACUGAAAUUUAGUAGUUCUUUAGAGUAAUUCCUGAGUAGUACUUAUUGAGUAAUGGAUCAGGAUGUUGCCAAUAUUUUGUCUAGAAGAAAUCAGACAGUGAAGAUUUUCACCCAUUACUUCUUAUCUUUUGUGCUGGUCGUCGACCGAAAUAAAGAUUUGAUUUGAUUUGA
Molecule: long non-coding RNA, 1150 nt
Organism: Hemicordylus capensis (graceful crag lizard)
Lineage: Eukaryota; Metazoa; Chordata; Lepidosauria; Squamata; Cordylidae
Exons: 4
Source: RefSeq, a predicted model, not a curated record